RNAcentral lists this ribosomal RNA (253 nucleotides) under uncultured bacterium. RNAcentral describes it as "partial 16S ribosomal RNA". It matches the Rfam family "Bacterial small subunit ribosomal RNA", at positions 524 to 776 of the family's 1533-position model. The record is from RNAcentral.
UACGGAGGGGGCUAGCGUUGUUCGGAAUUACUGGGCGUAAAGCGCACGUAGGCGGACUGGAAAGUCAGAGGUGAAAUCCCAGGGCUCAACCUUGGAACUGCCUUUGAAACUCCCAGUCUUGAGGUCGAGAGAGGUGAGUGGAAUUCCGAGUGUAGAGGUGAAAUUCGUAGAUAUUGGGAAGAACACCAGUGGCGAAGGCGGCCUCCUGGCUCGAUACUGACGCUGAGGUGCGAAAGCGUGGGGAGCAAACAGG